This 444-nucleotide ribosomal RNA is filed under the name Rhodella violacea. RNAcentral's name for it is "partial Bacterial small subunit ribosomal RNA". It matches the Rfam family "Bacterial small subunit ribosomal RNA", at positions 1 to 450 of the family's 1533-position model. The record is from RNAcentral. Lineage: Eukaryota; Rhodophyta; Rhodellophyceae; Rhodellales; Rhodellaceae.
ACGGAGAGUUUGAUCCUGGCUCAGGACGAACGCUGGCGGCGUGCUUAACACAUGCAAGUCGAACGGAAAGGCCCGCUUGCGGGUACUCGAGUGGCGAACGGGUGAGUAACACGUGAGUAACCUGCCCUUGACUUUGGGAUAACUUCAGGAAACUGGGGCUAAUACCGGAUAGGAGCUCCUGCUGCAUGGUGGGGGUUGGAAAGUUUCGGCGGUUGGGGAUGGACUCGCGGCUUAUCAGCUUGUUGGUGGGGUAGUGGCUUACCAAGGCUUUGACGGGUAGCCGGCCUGAGAGGGUGACCGGCCACACUGGGACUGAGACACGGCCCAGACUCCUACGGGAGGCAGCAGUGGGGAAUAUUGCACAAUGGGCGAAAGCCUGAUGCAGCAACGCCGCGUGGGGGAUGACGGCCUUCGGGUUGUAAACUCCUUUCGACAGGGACGAAG